GGUCGAGCAAGGAUGAAAAUCGGACUUAGUGAUCCGGUGGUUCUGCGUGGAAGGGCCAUCGCUCAACGGAUAAAAGCUACCCUGGGGAUAACAGGCUUAUCUCCCCCAAGAGUCCACAUCGACGGGGAGGUUUGGCACCUCGAUGUCGGCUCAUCCCAUCCUGGGGCUGUAGUAGGUCCCAAGGGUUGGGCUGUUCGCCCAUUAAAGUGGUACGCGAGCUGGGUUCAGAACGUCGUGAGACAGUUCGGUCCCUAUCCGUCGCAGGCGUAGGAAAUUUGAGAAGACCUGUCCUUAGUACGAGAGGACCGGGAUGGACGUACCUCUGGUGUACCAGUUGUUCUGCCAAGGGCAUGGCUGGGUAGCUAUGUACGGAAUGGAUAAGCGCUGAAAGCAUCUAAGCGCGAAGCCAACUUCAAGAUAAGAUUUCCCACCGCAAGGGUAAGACCCCAGAAAGACUAUCUGGUUGAUAGGUCGAAGGUGUAAGUGCAGCAAUGUAUUUAGCUUAUCGAUACUAAUAGGUCGAGGACUUGACCAAAUU
Molecule: ribosomal RNA, 538 nt
Filed under: Clostridioides difficile
Lineage: Bacteria; Bacillati; Bacillota; Clostridia; Peptostreptococcales; Peptostreptococcaceae
Description: partial 23S ribosomal RNA
Rfam family: Bacterial large subunit ribosomal RNA
Source: RNAcentral